UUUUGGUCAAGAUAAUAAGGGCAAUUGGUGGAUGCCUAGGCAUAUAGAGGCGAUGAAGGACGUGGCUAGCUGCGAUAAGCUUCGGUGAGGUGCAAACAACCUUUGAUCCGGAGAUUUCCGAAUGGGGCAACCCUUCAUGAGUAAUAUCAUGAAACUUCCGGUUGAAUAUAUAGACCGGAUAGAGCGAACGGGGAGAAUUGAAACAUCUUAGUAACCCCUGGAAAAGAAAACAACCGUGAUUCUCCUAGUAGCGGCGAGCGAACGGGGAAUAGCCCAAAUCUGUUUUAUGUUCAAGCCUGCCGGCGUUGUAAAACAGGCGUAGCGGGGCGAUUUUGGAGAGAUCGGCAGGUCUCUCGACAAGUCAAAAAUCUGUACAUUAUUUGAAUAGCUCUGGAAAGGGCUAACCGCAGAAGGUGAUAGUCCUGUAGAAGAAAAUCUGCAGACUUGUUGAAAGUCGUUCCCAAGUACCACGGAUCACGAGGAAUUUUGUGGGAAUCUACCGGGACCACCCGGAAAGGCUAAAUACUCCUAUAUGACCGAUAGUGAACUAGUACCGCGAGGGAAAGGUGAAAAGUACUCCUGACGGAGAGUGAAAUAGAACCUGAAACCGAUUGCUUACAAUCUGUCGGAGUCCGCCUAUGGCGGAUGACGGCGUGCCUUUUGCAUAAUGAGCCAGCGAGUUGCUCGUAGGUUGCGAGA
This 699-nucleotide ribosomal RNA is filed under the name Chloroflexi bacterium CG07_land_8_20_14_0_80_51_10. RNAcentral describes it as "bacterial LSU rRNA". It matches the Rfam family "Bacterial large subunit ribosomal RNA", at positions 1 to 645 of the family's 2925-position model. The record is from RNAcentral. Lineage: Bacteria; Bacillati; Chloroflexota.